AGAACGAACGCUGGCGGCAUGCCUAAUACAUGCAAGUCGAACGAGAUCUUCGGGUCUAGUGGCGCACGGGUGCGUAACGCGUGGGAAUCUACCCUUGGGUUCGGAAUAACAGUUGGAAACGACUGCUAAUACCGGAUGAUGACGAAAGUCCAAAGAUUUAUCGCCCAGGGAUGAGCCCGCGUAGGAUUAGGCUAGUUGGUGAGGUAAAGGCUCACCAAGGCUACGAUCCUUAGCUGGUCUGAGAGGAUGAUCAGCCACACUGGGACUGAGACACGGCCCAGACU
RNAcentral lists this ribosomal RNA (284 nucleotides) under uncultured soil bacterium. RNAcentral's name for it is "partial 16S ribosomal RNA". It matches the Rfam family "Bacterial small subunit ribosomal RNA", at positions 26 to 337 of the family's 1533-position model. The record is from RNAcentral.